RNAcentral lists this ribosomal RNA (480 nucleotides) under uncultured bacterium. Its description in RNAcentral is "bacterial SSU rRNA". It matches the Rfam family "Bacterial small subunit ribosomal RNA", at positions 28 to 507 of the family's 1533-position model. The record is from RNAcentral.
GACGAACGCUGGCGGCGUGCUUAAUACAUGCAAGUCGAGCGAGGUUACUGUUUUGGAUCCCUUCGGGGUGAAGAAGCUUUAACCUAGCGGCGGACGGGUGAGUAACGCGUGGGUAACCUACCCCAAAGUCCGGGAUAACAGCGGGAAACCGCUGCUAAUACCGGAUGUCUUUACCUUGGGGCAUCUUGAGGUAAAGAAAGGUAACGCUUUGGGAUGGGCCCGCGUCCCAUUAGCUAGUUGGUGAGGUAACGGCUCACCAAGGCGACGAUGGGUAGCCGGCCUGAGAGGGUGGACGGCCACACUGGGACUGAGACACGGCCCAGACUCCUACGGGAGGCAGCAGUAGGGAAUAUUGCGCAAUGGGGGGAACCCUGACGCAGCGACGCCGCGUGAAGGAAGAAGGUCUUCGGAUUGUAAACUUCUUUGAUGAGGGACGAAGGAAGUGACGGUACCUCAAAAACAGCCACGGCUAACUACGUG